CAUGGCAAUGAUGACCCAUUUGCUCUCACUGAGAACAAAGUUCAGUAAUGAGAUUCUUUGUUAUGCACUUGAGUUCUGAGCCAGA
RNAcentral lists this small nucleolar RNA (85 nucleotides) under Castor canadensis (American beaver). RNAcentral describes it as "Small nucleolar RNA SNORD103/SNORD85 (ENSCCNG00000022615.1)". It matches the Rfam family "Small nucleolar RNA SNORD103/SNORD85". Rfam says of the family: This family includes the snoRNAs SNORD103 (U103) and SNORD85 (HBII-251) . The members of this family belong to the C/D class of snoRNAs which contain the C (UGAUGA) and D (CUGA) box motifs. The record is from Rfam by way of RNAcentral. Lineage: Eukaryota; Metazoa; Chordata; Mammalia; Rodentia; Castoridae.